This 253-nucleotide ribosomal RNA is filed under the name uncultured bacterium. Its description in RNAcentral is "partial 16S ribosomal RNA". It matches the Rfam family "Bacterial small subunit ribosomal RNA", at positions 524 to 776 of the family's 1533-position model. The record is from RNAcentral.
UACGAAGGGGGCUAGCGUUGUUCGGAUUUACUGGGCGUAAAGCGCACGUAGGCGGCAUGUUAAGUUAGGGGUGAAAUCCCGAGGCUCAACCUCGGAACUGCCUCUAAUACUGGCAAUCUAGAGUCCGGAAGAGGUGAGUGGAACUCCUAGUGUAGAGGUGGAAUGCGUAGAUAUUAGGAAGAACACCAGUGGCGAAGGCGGCUCACUGGUCCGGUACUGACGCUGAGGUGCGAAAGCGUGGGGAGCAAACAGG